Molecule: unclassified non-coding RNA, 432 nt
Filed under: soil metagenome
Description: partial contains 5.8S ribosomal RNA, internal transcribed spacer 2, and large subunit ribosomal RNA
Rfam family: 5.8S ribosomal RNA (bases 1-120)
Source: RNAcentral
GAUGAAGAACGCAGCGAAAUGCGAUACGUAAUGUGAAUUGCAGAAUUCAGUGAAUCAUCGAAUCUUUGAACGCAUAUUGCGCUCUCUGGUAUUCCGGAGAGCAUGCUUGUUUGAGUAUCAGUAAACACCUCAACUUCCAUAUCUUUUUUGAAAUGGGUGUUGGACUUGAGUGAUCCCAACGCUUUUCCUCACCGAAAAGUGGCGGGUUACUUGAAAUGCAGGUGCAGCUGGACUUUUCUCUGAGCUAUAAGCAUAUCUAUUUAGUCUGCCUAAAAAACAGAUUAUUACCUUUGCUGCAGCUAACAUAAAGGAGAUUAGUUCUUGUGCUGACUGAUGCAGGAUUCACAAAGACGGCUUCGGCCGACUUUGUAAACUCGAUCUCAAAUCAAGUAAGACUACCCGCUGAACUUAAGCAUAUCAAUAAGCGGAGGA